RNAcentral lists this ribosomal RNA (253 nucleotides) under uncultured bacterium. Its description in RNAcentral is "partial 16S ribosomal RNA". It matches the Rfam family "Bacterial small subunit ribosomal RNA", at positions 524 to 776 of the family's 1533-position model. The record is from RNAcentral.
UACGUAGGUGACCAGCGUUGUCCGGAUUUACUGGGCGUAAAGAGCGCGCGGGCGGUCGUUCAAGUCGAGUGUGAAAGCCCCCGGCUCAACUGGGGAGGGUCACUCGAUACUGAUCGACUUGAAGGCAGGAGAGGGAAGCGGAAUUCCCGGUGUAGUGGUGAAAUGCGUAGAUAUCGGGAGGAACACCAGUGGCGAAGGCGGCUUCCUGGCCUGUUCUUGACGCUGAGGCGCGAAAGCUAGGGUAGCAAACGGG